This 692-nucleotide ribosomal RNA is filed under the name Yersinia sp. PU-RO8-12. Its description in RNAcentral is "bacterial SSU rRNA". It matches the Rfam family "Bacterial small subunit ribosomal RNA", at positions 77 to 762 of the family's 1533-position model. Lineage: Bacteria; Pseudomonadati; Pseudomonadota; Gammaproteobacteria; Enterobacterales; Yersiniaceae. The record is from RNAcentral.
AGUUUACUACUUUGCCGGCGAGCGGCGGACGGGUGAGUAAUGUCUGGGAAACUGCCUGAUGGAGGGGGAUAACUACUGGAAACGGUAGCUAAUACCGCAUGACCUCGCAAGAGCAAAGUGGGGGACCUUCGGGCCUCACGCCAUCGGAUGUGCCCAGAUGGGAUUAGCUAGUAGGUGGGGUAAUGGCUCACCUAGGCGACGAUCCCUAGCUGGUCUGAGAGGAUGACCAGCCACACUGGAACUGAGACACGGUCCAGACUCCUACGGGAGGCAGCAGUGGGGAAUAUUGCACAAUGGGCGCAAGCCUGAUGCAGCCAUGCCGCGUGUGUGAAGAAGGCCUUCGGGUUGUAAAGCACUUUCAGCGAGGAGGAAGGCAGUCGUGUUAAUAGCACGAUUGAUUGACGUUACUCGCAGAAGAAGCACCGGCUAACUCCGUGCCAGCAGCCGCGGUAAUACGGAGGGUGCAAGCGUUAAUCGGAAUUACUGGGCGUAAAGCGCACGCAGGCGGUUUGUUAAGUCAGAUGUGAAAUCCCCGCGCUUAACGUGGGAACUGCAUUUGAAACUGGCAAGCUAGAGUCUUGUAGAGGGGGGUAGAAUUCCAGGUGUAGCGGUGAAAUGCGUAGAGAUCUGGAGGAAUACCGGUGGCGAAGGCGGCCCCCUGGACAAAGACUGACGCUCAGGUGCGAAAGCGU